Molecule: transfer RNA, 76 nt
Filed under: Vibrio tapetis subsp. tapetis
Lineage: Bacteria; Pseudomonadati; Pseudomonadota; Gammaproteobacteria; Vibrionales; Vibrionaceae
Description: Pseudo tRNA
Source: RNAcentral
GGGGCUAUAGCUGAGGUGCGAGAGCGCCGACCUCGCCCGCAGGAGAUGUGCGGUUCGAUCCGGCACAGCUCCGCCA